RNAcentral lists this long non-coding RNA (707 nucleotides) under Homo sapiens (human). Its description in RNAcentral is "HSALNT0282908". Lineage: Eukaryota; Metazoa; Chordata; Mammalia; Primates; Hominidae. The record is from RNAcentral.
ACAAGGAGGCAUCAGACUGGUAGUAUUCAAGGCAACUUCAUGGAACUCAUGGGCAUCAAGAACCAUAGUUGUAAAUUAAUGUAGAAUAGAGGAACCAGCCCUCUGAGUAAGACAUAAAGAUGUAAAGAGGAGUCAGCAAUGAAAUCUCUGCAGCUCUGUAUCUCGCAUCACAGCCAAAAGCUCUAGGUUUGAUAUUCUACCUCAAGUGUCUAAGAUGAAAAUUCCAAAAUCUUGGAUCUUGAACUGCUUUCUACAUGGGUGAGUUUUAAUUCCAGAAAGAUUAUAAAUAAUAUACAUAUGACAAACUGAAUUGAAUCCAUGCUCUUAAAAUUUUGUGUACAGAUUAGGAAUAGUCUCUAUAUAUCUUUUAUUUAAAGGUUUGCAAUGGUAAGAGAAUUGGGCAUAUUAGAGAGUUCAGUGGUUACUAAUUUUAAAUGUGUAGUUGAAUUAAUGAUUAGAUUUGAGAAUUUUAUAUUGAAAGUUAUAUGAGAAUUUUGCAAAACUUAUAAAUUAUAUUGGAAUAUUUAGGAGAACUUCAGUUUUACUAUAUUUAUAUGAUUAUUUUGAUGUUUUAUCUAAGAUCUUGAGAAGAUUUGUUUGUGAGAAAAUUGAGGUAUUUAAAAUGAAACUCAAAUAUAAAUUUAUCAAUUCAGUUUAAAAUAUGCAAAGAAACUUAAUAAACUUAUAAAUGCUCCCUUGAAAAUGAC